UACGUAGGGGGCGAGCGUUGUCCGGAUUUACUGGGCGUAAAGAGCGCGCAGGCGGUCGUUCAAGUCGCGUGUGAAAGCCCCCGGCUCAACUGGGGAGGGUCACGCGAUACUGAUCGACUCGAAGGCAGGAGAGGGUAGUGGAAUUCCCGGUGUAGUGGUGAAAUGCGUAGAUAUCGGGAAGAACACCUAUGGCGAAGGCAGCUCUCUGGGACGGUACUGACGCUGAGACGCGAAAGCGUGGGGAGCGAACAGG
RNAcentral lists this ribosomal RNA (253 nucleotides) under uncultured bacterium. Its description in RNAcentral is "partial 16S ribosomal RNA". It matches the Rfam family "Bacterial small subunit ribosomal RNA", at positions 524 to 776 of the family's 1533-position model. The record is from RNAcentral.